CUUCCAUUCCUGUUGCACUUCUUCCAACAAUUGUGGUGUCGGAGCCUAUUGGAAUCCCCAGUGAAUGUCUCCUCUUGAAGAAUAUGUUUGAUCCGACCAUGGAGAUGGACCCAUAGUAUGAUUUGAAAAUCAAAGAUGAUGUUGAGGCAGAAUGUUCCAAAUAUGGUCCAGUUCUGCAUAUUCAUGUUGACAAGAAUAGUGCUGGUUAUGUAUAUCUUCGAUUCGAAACCAUUCAAGCUUCUACAGCUGCUCAAGCAGCAAUGCAUAAGAGGUGGUUUGCACGCAAGAUGAUCUCAGCAGUAUUUUCG
Molecule: long non-coding RNA, 308 nt
Organism: Impatiens glandulifera
Lineage: Eukaryota; Viridiplantae; Streptophyta; Magnoliopsida; Ericales; Balsaminaceae
Exons: 3
Source: RefSeq, a predicted model, not a curated record